AGUGAACGCUGGCGGUAGGCCUAACACAUGCAAGUCGAACGGCAGCACAGGAGAGCUUGCUCUCUGGGUGGCGAGUGGCGGACGGGUGAGGAAUACAUCGGAAUCUACUUUUUCGUGGGGGAUAACGUAGGGAAACUUACGCUAAUACCGCAUACGACCUACGGGUGAAAGCAGGGGAUCUUCGGACCUUGCGCGAUUGAAUGAGCCGAUGUCGGAUUAGCUAGUUGGCGGGGUAAAGGCCCACCAAGGCGACGAUCCGUAGCUGGUCUGAGAGAAUGAUCAGCCAAACGGGAACUGAGACACGGUCCAGACUCCUACGGGAGGCAGCAGUGGGGAAUAUUGGACAAUGGGCGCAAGCCUGAUCCAGCCAUACCGCGUGGGAGAAGAAGGCCUUCGGGUUGUAAAGCCCUUUUGUUGGGAAAGAAAUCCAGCUGGUUAAUACCCGGGUGGGAUGACGGUACCCAAAGAAUAAGCACCGGCUAACUUCGUGCCAGCAGCCGCGGUAA
This 506-nucleotide ribosomal RNA is filed under the name uncultured bacterium. RNAcentral describes it as "partial 16S ribosomal RNA". It matches the Rfam family "Bacterial small subunit ribosomal RNA", at positions 29 to 523 of the family's 1533-position model. The record is from RNAcentral.